GUGCGGGGAUGAGGUGUGGGUAGGGGUGAAAUGCCAAUCGAACCUGGAGAUAGCUGGUUCUCUCCGAAAUAGCUUUA
RNAcentral lists this ribosomal RNA (77 nucleotides) under Bacillus pumilus. RNAcentral describes it as "partial 23S ribosomal RNA". It matches the Rfam family "Bacterial large subunit ribosomal RNA", at positions 796 to 872 of the family's 2925-position model. The record is from RNAcentral. Lineage: Bacteria; Bacillati; Bacillota; Bacilli; Caryophanales; Bacillaceae.